This 576-nucleotide ribosomal RNA is filed under the name Escherichia coli. RNAcentral describes it as "bacterial SSU rRNA". It matches the Rfam family "Bacterial small subunit ribosomal RNA", at positions 328 to 918 of the family's 1533-position model. The record is from RNAcentral. Lineage: Bacteria; Pseudomonadati; Pseudomonadota; Gammaproteobacteria; Enterobacterales; Enterobacteriaceae.
CUAGUAUGCACCUACGGGUGGCUGCAGUGGGGAAUAUUGCACAAUGGGGGAAACCCUGAUGCAGCAACGCCGCGUGAAGGAAGACGGUUUUCGGAUUGUAAACUUCUUUUCUUAGUGAAGAAGAAAGUGACGGUAGCUAAGGAAUAAGCAUCGGCUAACUACGUGCCAGCAGCCGCGGUAAUACGUAGGAUGCGAGCGUUAUCCGGAAUUACUGGGUGUAAAGGGAGCGCAGGCGGGACUGCAAGUUGGAUGUGAAAUGCCGCAGCUUAACUGCGGAGCUGCAUCCAAAACUGUAGUUCUUGAGUGGAGUAGAGGCAAGCGGAAUUCCGAGUGUAGCGGUGAAAUGCGUAGAUAUUCGGAGGAACACCAGUGGCGAAGGCGGCUUGCUGGGCUCUAACUGACGCUGAGGCUCGAAAGUGUGGGGAGCAAACAGGAUUAGAUACCCUGGUAGUCCACACUGUAAACGAUGAUAGCUAGGUGUGGGGGGUCUGACCCCUUCCGUGCCGGAGUUAACGCAAUAAGCUAUCCACCUGGGGAGUACGGCCGCAAGGUUGAAACUCAAAGGAAUUGACGGGG